CGGAACACAAAUCACUCGACAAUGGAUCUAGAACCUUAAAUUCAACAAAGCUAUCAACCUUAACGAGGCUGUAUGCUGCUCGUCAACUCUUGAGCCAAUCGCCAUAGUGAUUUAUCAGAUCUGCCUUGAGAAAAGACAGGACAAAAAGGGCCGCGAACAAAUGUGUCAAGCACCUCGGUUCGAAACAUAAUCCUCUCUUAUGAUUUAUUUAAUUUCGCUUGGGUUUUUUAUCGAAAGGCAAAGAUGGCCUCGAAGUUUAGCUUGUGGUGGGGUUCAAAUUCGAUUCGCCUUUUGAAGCCGAAACUUUCGUUUCGAAUGGCUUGCCCUGUGCCCUGCUGUGUUCGUGGUCUUUGUACGUAAAACCGCUAGAGCGAGUCGAAGGGUUUACAUGGAACGUGUUACCGGUAGUUUAUACGACUGAACUGUUGCGUACUAUGUCGCCUACUCUUAAUCUCGUUUUUCUUCUAUUGGAUCUCUUUGUUGUUUCGUGACUUAACUUCCUUUCGAGAUCAGCAAAACUGAAAAAUGUUAAGAACGUAACUGACGACUUUCGUUUCUCGAUUGGAAGACCCGAUUCGGCCAACAGAAUAGUGCUGAAAAGYCGGUUCCAAGUGACUGCUGAAUGCUUCUCUGUACAAAUUCAGUCAAGCGAAAGCCGUGAGCCUAAUGACCAAAAUAAUAUAAGCUUUYAUCAUAAUAGGCUCAGAAAAGAUGGAUGCAUAUUCAAAAGCCGUAUAUAUCGCUAGGGUAAUUGAGCGGGUGAAAAAGCCAUUACUGAGUGAAAUAAAAGUAAGAACCAUAACAAUAUUUAAAAUGCUCUCCCGAGUGACUGAUGACUCAAGUAUUGAAGUAAAGUGUCCAUAUAUGUAGAGAACAGUUCCAAUAACCAAUGCUGUUGCUACUUAAAUUCUCAACAAGAAAAACUCAGUACCAUGGACACAAACUCUUCAGGCUUUCAUAAGUAAAUACUGAAAAUGAUAUGGAAUUUAAAGAGCCUAAUUCGCAAGCGCUUUCGUGUUGGAAGAGGCCAAUGAAAUGUCACUCUGCUGCCUAUUGUGGUCGGGGGCUUUGUUCACGUAAUAAGGGAAAAGUGAAAUGUUAAUGACUUCCUGCAAGUUCUAUUAGCAGACAUACUCUGGCCACUAGUUGGCUGUGGAUGUGUCAGGGCAAAACCCUUAAUAUUGAAACCACGGAAACCACAAAACUCGUCGAAGAGGGUCACGUGACAACCCCUGCUGAACAACCAGCUGUCAUUCCGGAUUGUAUGCUUUUGUUUGCUAGUGAUAGUUAAGAAAAUUAUGUAAAAAAAUUAAGCAUAUUGAUUGGUGUUUAGUUGAGAGGAACAAAAGAAUGAAUUAUUGAAAGGACGAACGAGUAAAGGGAUAUGUACUUUCCAACCGGACAGCUUUCCCAAGGGAGCCCCUGUUAAAUAUGACCACCAACCAUUUCUAAUUCGUUUUUAAUAUUUGGACAGCUGAAAAAGAGCUUCUUGGUUAUGACACCCUUAAGAAAAAACGUCUUUUAUCUCGAGAUAAGAGAAAUGGAAUGGCUCUAUUUACGGCGCUGAGCAAAGAACAGGUCYCUGCGUGUGACUCAGAAUUUUUCUUUUCGUGGAAUCUCGAAAAUAGAUUUUUUUAAUGAAAACAUAUGGAACAUUCAGUACUGCAACGUAAUAUUCAAAACGGUCGAUGGAUCAUAGUGAAUCCGAGUGGAAGCAGCCAAUAGCCAAUCAGCUGCGGUGGACCGAAAACAGAGAUAAGAAUGACUAAAUCGGAGUCACAAAGAAGGAAAAAAAGAUGGUACUUGAGUACGUAGUUCUCUUAGCUUGUUUAAUGGUUUAAAGCGAGGGCUUUCAAUAAUGGAUCGGCUUGUUUGCACGAAACGUUUGAUAUAUCCGCGCUGGCAAUCAUUAGAAAAGGAUGAUGGGAAAUGAUAUAACGGCAAUCAUUAGAAAAGGAUGAUGGGAAAUGAUAUAACGAGUUACAUUCGUAAUUAAAUGUUACACAAAAUCGUUGAAAACUGUACAGAACUGUAAAUAGUACUUUUAAGAAGUUUGAAAUUCGUGUUCUUUCGGGUAAAAGACUUGAGAAUAUUUAUAGGUUUGUGGUUCUAAAUAGAUAAAUAUGUUGCAAGACUGAAUCACGAAAUCAGUACAAUUUWAAAAGAUUUUUUGGAGGGUGAGUUCAGCCCUUUUCUUCAUCUAAAUUCUUCAUUGAUUAUAACUUUCGUAGUGAAAGGGUUAAUGUUAUCGGAACAAAACUCUACUGAAGUCUUCCCAAAACAGUGUUGCUCAACUUCAGACAAGUUCAUAAGACGCUUUCUUUCUGGUUUUCUAUUAUUUGUUGUGUGGUUAAGAGAAACGUCUAUGUGGUGUACUUUACUUAUUAUGAACACACGUGUGUAUACACAGUUCCCUGUCACAGGUUGUCCAAUUGUACGGUGUAGAAGGGCGGUGGUUGCUUGUACAACCGUGGGAUAUACGACUCCACCGGGUCCAUAUUCUCACAGUAUAGCACCAGGCACACGUUUUUCCACCGGCAGAAAAAAGCUAACAAGUGAUGGAUUAUAGUACUUUCUUAAGGAUAACUCCAAUUAAUCAGCCAAUAAAUGCAUUAGAAGAAAAACAAAAAAAAACAAACAAAAAAUAAAUGAAAGCUGAGUAGAUAAUAGAACAACCUGUCUUGUCCAUAAAAACAAAGAUUUCUGUGGAAAUUCAUCAGCAGUAUUCUAAAUAGAUUAACUAUAAUAAUAGUGCUCGCUUCGUUGUGAUUUUUUAACUAAGAAAAUUAUAUAUUACUAGUUUAAGAAAUGGAKUUUUUGCCUGUUUAGUUUAGACGUUUAUAUUUUAGUCAUUAAUGGUGUCACGAUAUAAAAUGAAGACGGUUACAAGACCGUACAAGACAAAAUAAAAUGAAACAGUAUUUUAUGAA
Molecule: long non-coding RNA, 2930 nt
Organism: Actinia tenebrosa (Australian red waratah sea anemone)
Lineage: Eukaryota; Metazoa; Cnidaria; Anthozoa; Actiniaria; Actiniidae
Source: RefSeq, a predicted model, not a curated record